This 254-nucleotide unclassified non-coding RNA is filed under the name uncultured Scleroderma. RNAcentral describes it as "sequence contains ITS1, 5.8S rRNA gene, ITS2". The stretch from base 205 to 254 matches the Rfam family "5.8S ribosomal RNA", at positions 1 to 50 of the family's 154-position model. The record is from RNAcentral. Lineage: Eukaryota; Fungi; Basidiomycota; Agaricomycetes; Boletales; Sclerodermataceae.
UUAUCGAAAUACAAGCCGAGGAGGGGAGGGGGAGGACUGUCGCUGCGCCCCGGCGCGAGCACGUCCCUUUCGAACCUCGUAGGCGUCGACCUCGUCACACCGUGUGCACCCUAUGUGGGUCCUUCGGGACCCACGUCUCCUCCUCCUUAAGCUCGCAUGUCUACAGAACGUGUACUUCGGUCUUCGUGCCGACGAACUUGAUACAACUUUCAGCGAUGGAUCUCUUGGCUCUCGCAUCGAUGAAGAACGCAGCG